This 216-nucleotide long non-coding RNA is filed under the name Elaeis guineensis (African oil palm). RNAcentral's name for it is "long non-coding RNA (EGUI_LNC072425)". Lineage: Eukaryota; Viridiplantae; Streptophyta; Magnoliopsida; Arecales; Arecaceae. The record is from RNAcentral.
CCCAUGAGGUACUCUAUUCAAUUUUUCUUUAUUGUUAAAAGUACACCUUAGUAAUUGUCUGAGCUUUGACUUCAAAUGAAUGCACUAGCUAAAUAUCGGAGAUAUAUUAAAUGAGAUAAAAACAUUUUAUAUACCUAGUGUUAGGACAUACCGACUGACUUCUGCACGUCGAUUUAUUCUCAGAUCGAUCCGACCGAUGUCUGACUCUAUCGAUCG